Molecule: long non-coding RNA, 458 nt
Filed under: Salvia miltiorrhiza (redroot sage)
Lineage: Eukaryota; Viridiplantae; Streptophyta; Magnoliopsida; Lamiales; Lamiaceae
Description: long non-coding RNA (SMIL_LNC007266)
Source: RNAcentral
UAUUCACAGUUGUGCGCAACUUUCUUGUUUUGGACAUAUCACUCUCGUUCGAUCUCUUAUUUACGAUCUAUUUGCGCACACGAACUCAUAUCGUGAUGAUAUAGAACUUUAGUUCAGACCACACUUCCAAAUUCAGCUUCGAUAUUUCUGUAGAUUUCACCAAAGUACGAGAAAAUAUUAUAUUUAAAAGAUAAAGCAAUUUAAGUGCAAAAUAAUCAUCAAACACUCAAUUCUCUAUAAAAUUGACAUCAUAAAAAUAUUAAAAACCAUGGAAAAUUAAGUGUUAUCAAUAAUAAAUAAAGAAAAGAUAGAAAUAAAUGAAAGCAAACUUACUAUUAAAAGCAAAAUGGGUAGAAUGCUACUAUGCUGAACAAAAACAUAAACUGUCUUGCCCAAAUCGAGGCUUAUCAAUAAAAAUACAGAAAGUAAAGAUUGUUUUUGGUGAUACAAACUUUCAA